This 367-nucleotide ribosomal RNA is filed under the name uncultured organism. RNAcentral describes it as "bacterial SSU rRNA". It matches the Rfam family "Bacterial small subunit ribosomal RNA", at positions 526 to 896 of the family's 1533-position model. The record is from RNAcentral.
CGUAGGUGGCAAGCGUUGUCCGGAUUUAUGGGUUUAAAGGGUGCGUAGGCGGCUUUGUAAGUCAGUGGUGAAAUAUGGCAGCUCAACUGUCAGGGUGCCAUUGAUACUGCGGAGCUUGAGUACAGAUGAGGUAGGCGGAAUUGACGGUGUAGCGGUGAAAUGCUUAGAUAUCGUCAAGAACACCGAUAGCGAAGGCAGCUUACUAGGCUGUAACUGACGCUGAGGCACGAAAGUGUGGGGAUCAAACAGGAUUAGAUACCCUGGUAGUCCACACUGUAAACGUUGAUGACUCGCUGUUGGCGAUACACGGCCAGCGGCAGAGAGAAAUCGUUAAGUCAUCCACCUGGGGAGUACGCCGGCAACGGUG